GACGAACGCUGGCGGCGUGCUUAACACAUGCAAGUCGAACGGAAAGGCCCUGCUUUUGUGGGGUGCUCGAGUGGCGAACGGGUGAGUAACACGUGAGUAACCUGCCCUUGACUUUGGGAUAACUUCAGGAAACUGGGGCUAAUACCGGAUAGGAGCUCCUGCUGCAUGGUGGGGGUUGGAAAGUUUCGGCGGUUGGGGAUGGACUCGCGGCUUAUCAGCUUGUUGGUGGGGUAGUGGCUUACCAAGGCUUUGACGGGUAGCCGGCCUGAGAGGGUGACCGGCCACAUGGGGACUGAGAUACGGCCCAGACUCCUACGGGAGGCAGCAGUGGGGAAUAUGGCACAAUGGGCGGAAGCCUGAUGCAGCAACGCCGCGUGCGGGAUGACGGCCUUCGGGGUGUAAACCGCUUUCGCCUGUGACGAAGCGUGAGUGACGGUAAUGGGUAAAGAAGCACCGGCUAACUACGUG
Molecule: ribosomal RNA, 468 nt
Filed under: uncultured bacterium
Lineage: Bacteria
Description: partial 16S ribosomal RNA
Rfam family: Bacterial small subunit ribosomal RNA
Source: RNAcentral